Molecule: ribosomal RNA, 538 nt
Filed under: Vibrio parahaemolyticus
Lineage: Bacteria; Pseudomonadati; Pseudomonadota; Gammaproteobacteria; Vibrionales; Vibrionaceae
Description: bacterial LSU rRNA
Rfam family: Bacterial large subunit ribosomal RNA
Source: RNAcentral
CAUAGUGAUCCGGUGGUUCUGAAUGGAAGGGCCAUCGCUCAACGGAUAAAAGGUACUCCGGGGAUAACAGGCUGAUACCGCCCAAGAGUUCAUAUCGACGGCGGUGUUUGGCACCUCGAUGUCGGCUCAUCACAUCCUGGGGCUGAAGUCGGUCCCAAGGGUAUGGCUGUUCGCCAUUUAAAGUGGUACGCGAGCUGGGUUUAGAACGUCGUGAGACAGUUCGGUCCCUAUCUGCCGUGGGCGUUGGAAGAUUGAAGGGGGCUGCUCCUAGUACGAGAGGACCGGAGUGGACGAACCUCUGGUGUUCGGGUUGUGUCGCCAGACGCAUUGCCCGGUAGCUAAGUUCGGAAUCGAUAACCGCUGAAAGCAUCUAAGCGGGAAGCGAGCCCUGAGAUGAGUCUUCCCUGAUACUUUAAGUAUCCUAAAGGGUUGUCGGAGACUACGACGUUGAUAGGUCAGGUGUGUAAGUGCUGUGAGGCAUUGAGCUAACUGAUACUAAUUGCCCGUGAGGCUUAACCAUACAACACCCAAGGGGUUU